GCCGGGCAUGGUGGCUCAUGCCUGUAAUCCCAGCACUUUAGGAGGCCAAGGCAGGUGGAUCACCUGAGGUCAGGAGUUCGAGACUAGCCUGGCCAACAUGGUGAAACCCUGUCUCUA
This 117-nucleotide non-coding RNA is filed under the name Gorilla gorilla gorilla (western lowland gorilla). Lineage: Eukaryota; Metazoa; Chordata; Mammalia; Primates; Hominidae. The record is from Rfam by way of RNAcentral.